This 1461-nucleotide long non-coding RNA is filed under the name Bemisia tabaci. RNAcentral's name for it is "lncRNA ENSSSA1NGG006635". Lineage: Eukaryota; Metazoa; Arthropoda; Insecta; Hemiptera; Aleyrodidae. The record is from RNAcentral.
CGAAAAUCUCUCCGCUCCCUCACAUGUCGGCCACUCUCUAAAUUUGCGACCCACCGAAUGCCACGUCGCGUCGUGGUUCGAAGACGGUUUACCUCUGCGCGUGUUGCUAAACACCAAAAGUGCCACGGAUCCCAUUUCAAAGAAACAGAAAAAACUGUGCUGCACUGCGUCUGUUUUUUAGAACGUCUCACUCCAGUCGUCGACAACAUGCAGCUCACUACAAUAGACAACUAGACAAGGCAUGUAUUUAAGCACUCUGUUACAUGUUUUUAAACGAGAAUUUCAUGUAGAACACGAUUCUUGCAUCAAAAGUUACGGAAAGAAACUCCUUACUAAGAUAUUAACGUUUUAAUUUUACAUUGGUUACAGGAAAUUUGAAUUGCUCGGCCACAAGAAACUCCAUACUCUACGUGAGUCAAAUCGCGCCCUACAACGGUUGGGCAGGCUUCUCAAUCAAACACUGUUCCUUUCCCAACCUUUAUCGUUCAAAGUGUGAACAAUUUUCUAUGGCUGAGCCAAAGCGUCAUGAUUGAGGUUGCCAGAUUUUUAUAUCGCAGAGACCGUCAUGAUAACGUUUAGCGCACGAUGUGAAUCACGUAGAGCAUUGAGUUUUCAUGAGCGGGAGGUUUGAAUUCACGCGUCAAGAAACAUUGAAUAUCUUCAUAAGGAGUUAAUUUCAGUAAUUUUCGUUACGCGAAUUGUGUUUUACGUGAAAUUUUGGUUAAGAAAUAUGUAUCAGAAAGCUUAAUUUUGUACUUUGUCUAGUGGUCCAUUACUACCAUUAUUUCUUCUCAUUUCACGGCCUGAGUUGGCAACCCGGACAAACCCAAGGGCUAUAUCGUCGACGAUAUAAACUUCUUGCUGAAAUACUGGCCGGUGCCCGAUGAAAGGAUUCUAUCUCUGGUAAAGUUGGGUUAAAUUCGAAGAUAUACCUGUUAAUUUUAACCCGAUCAGGAAAUAGGUUUCUGCAUUUACACAAUAUGGUUCAUUAUCAAUUCGCCGAUAAAAUUGACUAAAAUUCCAGGGCGUUCACAUUGAAGCAUCGCGCGCUUUUCUGAUGAGUAAGUAAAAUCCUUGAGAACGUAUAGUUUCAUUAAAAGCACGGUUUCCAAAUGAGUAGAUGUACUAUGAUUUGCUGUAGAUUUUGAAUCUUAUUCUGUACGCAAGCUAAUUCAUUUACUUUAUGAUUCUCUGGUCUAAGCUUCAACUGCGAUCGUGCGUUUAGUGACACAAACAACUUACAUGAAGAACUCUGUUGAGUUGUUUGAUUGAGUUUCGUGUGAGUAAAAUAGUAUUAUCAAAAUCCGAAAUCUGCCCGGAAAUUGGAACUUCCAAAAUUGCUUGCUUCAAAACAAUCUGCAACUACAUAAAAUAAAGAGGGUGUCACUAUAGUCUAUAUUGAGCUAUUUUUUAUGGAUAAAGUAUGGAGACGUUUGCGAAUUUAAACAAUUUCAACAGACC